RNAcentral lists this transfer RNA (61 nucleotides) under Cyrtodactylus pageli. RNAcentral's name for it is "tRNA-Tyr". The record is from RNAcentral. Lineage: Eukaryota; Metazoa; Chordata; Lepidosauria; Squamata; Gekkonidae.
GGUAGGGUGGCCGAGCAGGUGGCGAGCUGUAGACUUGUUUACGGGGCUGUGCCCCCCCCAC